This 497-nucleotide ribosomal RNA is filed under the name uncultured bacterium. RNAcentral describes it as "partial 16S ribosomal RNA". It matches the Rfam family "Bacterial small subunit ribosomal RNA", at positions 28 to 507 of the family's 1533-position model. The record is from RNAcentral.
GAUGAACGCUGGCGGCGUGCCUAAUACAUGCAAGUCGAGCGAACGGACGAGAAGCUUGCUUCUCUGAUGUUAGCGGCGGACGGGUGAGUAACACGUGGAUAAGCUACCUAUAAGACUGGGAUAACUUCGGGAAACCGGAGCUAAUACCGGAUGAUAUUUUGAACCGCAUGGUUCAAAAGUGAAAGACGGUCUUGCUGUCACUUAUAGAUGGAUCCGCGCUGCAUUAGCUAGUUGGUAAGGUAACGGCUUACCAAGGAAACGAUGCAUAGCCGACCUGAGAGGAUGAUCAGCCACACUGGAACUGAGACACGGUCCAGACUCCUACGGGAGGCAGCAGUAGGGAAUCUUCCGCAAUGGGCGAAAGCCUGACGGAGCAACGCCGCGUGAGUGAUGAAGGUCUUCGGAUCGUAAAACUCUGUUAUUAGGGAAGAACAUAUGUGUAAGUAACUGUGCACAUCUUGACGGUACCUAAUCAGAAAGCCACGGCUAACUUCGUG